AAGUCGUAACAAGGUUUCCGUAGGUGAACCUGCGGAAGGAUCAUUACAGAACAAAUUUGGUAGACUGUUGCUGGCUCUCUUGGGAGCAUAUGUGCACGUUUAUCAUUUUUAUAUUUCCACCUGUGCAUCUUUGUAGAUCUGGGAUUCAUUUAUGGCUUUUAUUGCUGUGUUAGAGAGAACUGCUGCUAGGCUUUUCUUCAUAUCCCAGUUCUAUGUUCUUACAUUUACCCUAUGUAUGUUAAAGAAUGCUUCAUUAGGUCUUAAAAAAACCUAUAUAAACUAUAUACAACUUUCAGCAACGGAUCUCUUGGCUCUC
Molecule: unclassified non-coding RNA, 316 nt
Filed under: fungal sp.
Lineage: Eukaryota; Fungi
Also listed under: 1 other name
Description: partial internal transcribed spacer region
Rfam family: Eukaryotic small subunit ribosomal RNA (bases 1-46)
Source: RNAcentral